Molecule: ribosomal RNA, 1488 nt
Filed under: Salmonella enterica subsp. enterica serovar Weltevreden
Lineage: Bacteria; Pseudomonadati; Pseudomonadota; Gammaproteobacteria; Enterobacterales; Enterobacteriaceae
Description: partial 23S ribosomal RNA
Rfam family: Bacterial large subunit ribosomal RNA
Source: RNAcentral
AGACCCGAAACCCGGUGAUCUAGCCAUGGGCAGGUUGAAGGUUGGGUAACACUAACUGGAGGACCGAACCGACUAAUGUUGAAAAAUUAGCGGAUGACCUGUGGCUGGGGGUGAAAGGCCAAUCAAACCGGGAGAUAGCUGGUUCUCCCCGAAAGCUAUUUAGGUAGCGCCUCGUGAAUUCAUCUCCGGGGGUAGAGCACUGUUUCGGCUAGGGGGCCAUCCCGGCUUACCAACCCGAUGCAAACUGCGAAUACCGGAGAAUGUUAUCACGGGAGACACACGGCGGGUGCUAACGUCCGUCGUGAAGAGGGAAACAACCCAGACCGCCAGCUAAGGUCCCAAAGUCAUGGUUAAGUGGGAAACGAUGUGGGAAGGCCCAGACAGCCAGGAUGUUGGCUUAGAAGCAGCCAUCAUUUAAAGAAAGCGUAAUAGCUCACUGGUCGAGUCGGCCUGCGCGGAAGAUGUAACGGGGCUAAACCAUGCACCGAAGCUGCGGCAGCGACGCUUAUGCGUUGUUGGGUAGGGGAGCGUUCUGUAAGCCUGUGAAGGUGGCCUGUGAGGGUUGCUGGAGGUAUCAGAAGUGCGAAUGCUGACAUAAGUAACGAUAAAGCGGGUGAAAAGCCCGCUCGCCGGAAGACCAAGGGUUCCUGUCCAACGUUAAUCGGGGCAGGGUGAGUCGACCCCUAAGGCGAGGCCGAAAGGCGUAGUCGAUGGGAAACGGGUUAAUAUUCCCGUACUUGGUGUUACUGCGAAGGGGGGACGGAGAAGGCUAUGUUGGCCGGGCGACGGUUGUCCCGGUUUAAGCGUGUAGGUGUGUGUUCCAGGUAAAUCCGGUUCACUUUAACACUGAGGCGUGACGACGAGGCACUACGGUGCUGAAGCAACAAAUGCCCUGCUUCCAGGAAAAGCCUCUAAGCAUCAGGUAACAUCAAAUCGUACCCCAAACCGACACAGGUGGUCAGGUAGAGAAUACCAAGGCGCUUGAGAGAACUCGGGUGAAGGAACUAGGCAAAAUGGUGCCGUAACUUCGGGAGAAGGCACGCUGACAUGUAGGUGAAGUGAUUUACUCAUGGAGCUGAAGUCAGUCGAAGAUACCAGCUGGCUGCAACUGUUUAUUAAAAACACAGCACUGUGCAAACACGAAAGUGGACGUAUACGGUGUGACGCCUGCCCGGUGCCGGAAGGUUAAUUGAUGGGGUCAGCGCAAGCGAAGCUCCUGAUCGAAGCCCCGGUAAACGGCGGCCGUAACUAUAACGGUCCUAAGGUAGCGAAAUUCCUUGUCGGGUAAGUUCCGACCUGCACGAAUGGCGUAAUGAUGGCCAGGCUGUCUCCACCCGAGACUCAGUGAAAUUGAACUCGCUGUGAAGAUGCAGUGUACCCGCGGCAAGACGGAAAGACCCCGUGAACCUUUACUAUAGCUUGACACUGAACAUUGAGCCUUGAUGUGUAGGAUAGGUGGGAGGCUUUGAAGUGUGGACGCCAGUCUGC